Molecule: transfer RNA, 74 nt
Filed under: Candidatus Woesearchaeota archaeon
Lineage: Archaea; Nanobdellati; Candidatus Woesearchaeota
Description: tRNA-Phe
Rfam family: tRNA
About the family: Transfer RNA (tRNA) molecules are approximately 80 nucleotides in length.
Source: RNAcentral
GGGACGAUAGCUCAGCUUGGGAGAGCACACGGCUGAAGACCGUGGUGUCCUGGGUUCAAAUCCCAGUCGUCCCA